GAUGAACGCUAGCGGCAGGCCUAACACAUGCAAGUCGAGGGAGAAGCCCUUUCGGGGGCAGAAACCGGCGCACGGGUGCGUAACGCGUAUGCAACCUACCUUUCACAGGGGGAUAGCCCGAAGAAAUUUGGAUUAAUACCCCAUAAUAUUAUUGGAUGGCAUCAUUUGAUAAUUAAAACUGCGGUGGUGAAAGAUGGGCAUGCGUCCUAUUAGCUAGUUGGAGUGGUAACGGCACCCCAAGGCUACGAUAGGUAGGGGUCCUGAGAGGGAGAUCCCCCACACUGGUACUGAGACAGGGACCAGACUCCUACGGGAGGCAGCAGCGAGGAAUAUUGGUCAAUGGUCGGAAGACUGAACCAGCCAUGCCGCGUGCAGGAAGAAUGCCUUAUGGGUUGUAAACUGCUUUUAUAUGGGAAGAAUAAGGCGUACGUGUACGUUGAUGACGGUACCAUAUGAAUAAGCAUCGGCUAACUCCGUG
RNAcentral lists this ribosomal RNA (478 nucleotides) under uncultured bacterium. RNAcentral's name for it is "partial 16S ribosomal RNA". It matches the Rfam family "Bacterial small subunit ribosomal RNA", at positions 28 to 507 of the family's 1533-position model. The record is from RNAcentral.